Molecule: ribosomal RNA, 444 nt
Filed under: uncultured bacterium
Lineage: Bacteria
Description: partial 16S ribosomal RNA
Rfam family: Bacterial small subunit ribosomal RNA
Source: RNAcentral
CCUACGGGUGGCAGCAGUAGGGAAUAUUCGACAAUGGAGGCAACUCUGACCCAGCAAUGCCGCGUGAAUGAAGAAGGUCUUCGGCUUGUAAAGUUCUUUAGUCAGGGAAGAAUGAAAUGACGGUAACUGGAGAAUAAGCUCCGGGUAACUACGUGGCAGCAGCCGCGGUAAUACGUAGGGUGCCAGCCUUGUUCGGGAUGACUGGGAGUAAAGGGUGGGUAGGCGGGUAUCCAAGUUAGAAGGUAAAUACCCAGGGCUUAACUCGGGUGGUGCAUCUAAAACGGUAAGACUUGAGUGCAGUAGAGGUCAGUGGAAUGCCAAGUGUAGCGGUGGAAUGCGUAGAUAUAAGGAGGAACACCAGAGGCGAAGGCGGCUAACUGGACUGCAACUGACGCUGAGGCACGAAAGUGUGGGUAGCAAACAGGAUUAGAUACCCCAGUAGUC